Molecule: long non-coding RNA, 7257 nt
Organism: Grus americana (Whooping crane)
Lineage: Eukaryota; Metazoa; Chordata; Aves; Gruiformes; Gruidae
Exons: 5
Source: RefSeq, a predicted model, not a curated record
ACUGCCACGCGCUAACGGCCGCACGGUAGCGGGGGCGGGGGGGGGAGGGAGGCAGGCAGGAGCGCUCGCGCUCCACGCCCGCAGCGAACCGCUGGCUCCAUCCCGCCGCUCGGGCGGGCGCCCCGUGCGCGUCGGCUGCCUGCCCUGACGUGACCGACGGCGGCUCCGCUCCCCGGCGUCCCCGUCCCUCCGGAGCGGCUCCCGCAGCAGCCAGCGGAGAAAUCCUGCGGCGCCCGGGCCCCAGGGAACCGCGCUUUCCGUGUGUAUUAAACAGAUCUUUUUUAAAAAUCGUAUAUAUCCCGCGCGACAGUCAGCCGCCCCCACCUCGGGCCGGGCUCCUGUGAGCCUGGGCGGCCGCGCACCGGCCUCGCCACCGCGCCCCAGCUGCGGGAAAGGACAUCGGGUGAAGUGAUUCAGGGACGGAAAGGCUGAGCUGUUUUAGCUUUUUUUUUUUCCUUGUCUUUUUGUUUCGAGAUAACACGGAAAAGUUGCUAGAACGGGCUUUAAAGCACACAAAGAGUAUCCAAGUAUUUUCCCUUUAAGGACCAUCCCUCCCCCCCCCCCCUUUUUUUUAAAGCCUGAAAAGUAAGUAUGGAUUAGAGUAAUUGCCUACACUUUUUUUCAGUCUUUCUUAUCUAAGUUACAGAUUAGACCGCAUUGUUCGACCAGGUUUGAUUAUUUGCACAGCGAGUCCCUUUGGAAUGGAUCAAAACAAUCAUUUUGGACCAGACUAUUGAAAGUAUUUAGACUGCUUCCACAUAGGCUUUUGACAUCUGCAGUGUACUAGAGGAAGAGGUCCUUGCUCAAUGCAACUUGACUAUACGUUGUGUGAAAUGUUUGAGUGCUAAAGGCCUAGAGAGAUCUGCAGUAGUUCAUAGGCAACCAGACAUAAUGGAAGCAAGCGACUGAAGGAUACCAAGAUGGACUUACUAAGGGAAGAAAAAAAAUACAGGGUGGGAAAGAGAGAUCCAGUUGCAUUCCACAUUAAGCAAAGCAGUCAGUUUCAAAGAUGCCCUAUUCAAAGAAUGAAAUCUUCUAUUUGGUAAUACCUCUGGUCUGAAGAAUUAUUAUUCCUGUUCAUUUAAUGAUGUGAUAAACACAGCUUUAAAAUAUUUUGGUGCCACAGAAUCUGUUGUGAAUGAGACAUCUGUAGUCACAAAUUUAUUUGAUAUAUACUUCUUAAAAUCAAAAACAGAUGUGCAGAUGUGUUGACUAUAUAGUGAUAUGCUAAUAACUGCCGCAGAGAUUUUUAGAUACUAGCUAGUGUCAAGGCAGGGUUAUAUCGAGGCUGUCUGGAAUUAAUUUAGAGCCCUUCAGGCCCAUCACUGAAUCCUUCCAUGGACCAGGCUUAGAAGCCAAGGGUUGCGCCAAAUACUCUGGAUUUAGAAUUAUCCUUACAUCAAUGGAAUUUGUUCAUAAUUUAAGCAUGUAUGAUGCACUGUCUGAGCUCAGUGGUCUGUCAAAACGAUUGCAGACAAUGGAUAUUACACUGCCAGAAGCUCUCUCACGUUUGUCAGGACAGGGUUUGAUUUCUGCUUGCAUUGUUGUUUGUUUAGGAAUAUAUGCAAUAAAGAUGGCAGUGCCAAAUAAAAUUUGUACUGUGAAAACAGGGAUACGCAUGACGGCAAAGCUGUUAAAAUCCAUGUAGCAAAAUUAGGCGCUUGGCAAACAAUAAAAAAAAAAACUGGCUGAUGACAGCAAGACUUUUUAAGACUAAAGCUUACCCAAACAUCUAUUUUUUCCUGCAUGUUAAUUCUGUAUUGUAGUCUUUCCUAAUCAAAAACUGAAUCCAUGCUAGGAAUGAGUUGAGUCACUUUUUGAAGAGUGUGGUCCACAAAUACCAGAAUUGUUGCCUAAAUAGUAACUGACUAUUACAGUAAGUUUAACGCUCCCAUAGAACUUGAAAAUGCCAGUAAAGAGAAAUGUCACAGAAAUCUUAAUGUCUUACCAGGAAUAGUAAGUAAUUCCUAUGGUCUUCUCUCUCUCUUUCUCUCUUUUUUUUUUUUUUUUUUUUUUUUUUAAAGUACUUGCUUUAAUAGCCUUUGGCAAAUUUAUUUCUGUAUGUGAAUGUAUUUCCAUUUUUCAAGAAGAAACUUUUGGCAAUAAUACAUGGGGCAAAACCACAUUGUGAACAUUUGAAUAUUUUAUUGUGUGAUCCUACAUAUAAGUACUCAUUGUAAAAUAUUUAUGGAAUACAAAUGCCUAACUAAGAAGGCAAUACUUUGUCUAGCCAUUAAUUUAACAUGACAAUAAUGUCUGUCGUAAGGAAAUGGGAUCCAUUAGUGGUCUCACGGAUUACAAAGGCUUUAUCUCUGUAUCACUUUAUCAGUGAUUUCUGACCCUUGCUGACAAUUAUACUUAAUUCUUUCAUAGGUAGAAAUGUUGAAAAAUUUCAUCACUAAUAUAAUUGAUAUAGUGUUAAUUCAUGAACUCAUGUAUCAUUUAUAGAUGUCUGUCUCAAAUGUUAUAUAUCCACUGCUGAGUGUUUGAUGACAGUUUGGUUUUGAUUCAAUUAUACUCAUAGUCAAAAAUAAUUCCAACAAUAUGAAUCAAUAGUAGCAAUUAAUAUAUUUGACAGUUUAUGCAUCAAUAUGCACACUGAAAUUGAUCUUUUAUCCUCAGAACCUUAAAAUAAUAACUGCCAUUCUUUUUCAUUGAAAUAAAAAGCUUAACAGAUUUUCAUAAAACUCCAAUAAUAUAUUUUAUAAUACUCCCGUAAAUUACAAUAGUAGUUCAGUUAUUGUUUGAUGACUCAGACAAUACUAUGUACACUGUUUAAAUCAUAACUUCUAGGUUAGCGAGCAAUUUACAGCUCAAAAUAGAUUUUUCUUGUGCAAUUCAUGUAUAUUAUACAGAAACUCUUCCUCACUCAGAACUAAGAAAUAAAUUUCAGGUCCAAGAAAUAAAUGGCAGUAAUAUCCAUGUGAAUUUCUCUCUAAAUAUAUUUUUGUUUUAUUCAAACAAGAACUUAGAAAUAAAAACUAUUUCCAUGACCAGGAUAUGCUACAACAGCUCUACUGUUUUGAACCUUGUACCCCUUGUUUGUUCCAGGAUUAGACAGAAAGAACCAGACUCUUUUCUGCAGUUCUCUUUCCACAGGGAUUAUUUUAGCCAGCUUUCAGCAUUGCCUGGUCUUUCCCAGCCAGCUUUGAUGAUCAAACAAGAUUAGUUGCCCUGAAGGCCUGUCCCAAAAAGGACAAGCGAUGUCAGUUUACAAAAGCUAUGGAUUUUAAAAAAUUAGGACUAGACUUUAAAAAUUAUUGUAGUUAACAAUUUUUAUGACAAAAUAUUCCAGUGUUUUAAAUUGGUCAGUAGUUUAAAAAAUGUUAAACAAUGCCUUUGGCAACAUGAAUGCCAGGCUUUUGUAGAGAAAGAAAUGUCUGCACCUCUCCUGAGAACUUGCAAAAGAAUAGGAAAGGAAUUUAGCAUCAUUUAUAGAGACAAGUUAUUUUUUUCUGUUUACAGUACUAAAUACAAAAUGAUAGAUUUUUUUUCCUUUGUGAGCGCUUCUGAGAUCAUCUUUAAAUGAUUCUAAAGACAAGUAUGUACCUUUAUAGCUGUCAUAAAUUUUUGCCCUCAGUCUUAACCUAGUUGAUGAAAAUGUCAUCUAUGACCAAUGUCCCACACGAAUGCUUACAAUUAAGUAGUCCUUUCACCUUAUAAAAUACCUAUUAAUGAAGUAAAUUUAUUACCUGCAUUAAAUCCAAAUAUGGACUGUUGACAUUGUUGAGAGUAAGACUGUUCUCAAAAAAAAGUCAAAAUGUUCAGUCCUGAAUGUAUGGUGAGAAUAUCCAAUUUAAUCUGCUCUUAAAUAGUCUUAUUUUGAUGAAACCAACCCAUGUACCUGAAGCUGGAAUGUGUAUGUAUGUCGGUCUGGAAUAAGGGUGUUUGGGCCACUAUUUAAACCCAGUUUUAUUUUGGAGAUUUAAGAUCCAGGUUUGUGGCAUUGCAAUCAAAAGACACAGAUCAGUGACUUAAGAGGCACUUAAUGUGAAGUGAUCAUCAACCACGGUGACUUGAGACUAAAUUAGGUGUAAAUGCAGUCCCAACUAAAUACAGCAUGUCAAACUGAAGGGUCUUCUGAAACAAAUGUGAUUGCUAUUUCUGCCCUCCAGUAUUUGCAGGCUACAGUGGACAAGAAGACAAUUAUUUUAUUUUUCUUUUAAUAGGGGAAGGAAGAACAUCACUGUUUUAAGGUCCAUCUUCUGUAGUUCAUUCUCCCGAUUAUCGUUUUUAAGAGUCUUGUACUCUGUUCCAGAAGAAGGUAUCCACCUCCUCUCAUGUUGGCCUAGAUGACUGACCAUCAAAUGGACUUUCACCAUAUGAUAGAAAAAAGGGAGCUAACUGUACAAAUUAAACUCUUUCUGUCUCAGGAUUUUGCUGUCCUUAGUUUCUCACAGUGUUCCACAUUUCAUUUAGAUAGGGAUAGCAUUUUUAUAAAACUUUUAAGAGUUGCUUGCCUAAUGCAGCUCACUUUUUGUUACUCUAUGCCACCUGUUCUAGGAGCAAUCUGACUUUCCUUGGCUGGUGAGCUUUACUUCAUCCUUCCUCCUUAGCAAAAGAGUACCUUCCAGUCUCCUCAGGCUAAUAUUGACCACUUCUUUCCCCAAGUAGUAAUAGUCAAACUCCCAACAAUUCCUAGAUAUUAAGCAAUGGAUUUUAUUUUUUUUUAAAUUUGAGGAAGAUUGAGAUUAAUUGAUACCACUUUUAGCAAUCUGCUGUGCCUAGAUAGCACGAAACCUGCAGUGCCCUGGGAGUGUUACCACUGACCACAGUGGAGCCAAUCUUUUACCAAAAAACUCCAUACAACUGCAGGAGUACAGCACACAGCAGCACAGCGGUUAAUGUAGAUUGACAGUCAGUUGGAUCCCAAAAGGGGAGUGGGGAAUGUUUCUUCUAGUAAUCAGCAGAAGAGGAGGCAUAAUGGCCUGGCCUUUUAGUUCCUGUAUAUUAAUCUCUGCAGAGCAAUGCCUGCCAUUGCUCAGAUAUCAGAUGCUGUUUAUAACUAUGCUGGAAACAACAUAGAACACAAUAGUAUAAUUAAUUUCUCUUGAGACUGUAUAUGCACUUUUUAGGUUAGCUAUUUUUUCACUGCUUCACUUGGUUCAAACAUUGCAUCAGCAGUAUUGCAAGGUGGCUCGAAAAGUUGUUUUUUCCAUUAAUUUCUCCAGCUGCUCUCUCAAUCCACAACCAAAAGCCUAGGAUGUGUUGAGGUGCAAAGGUUUUCACAGCACAGGUAUGCCGUGUCUCAGGGGGUGGCUUGUCUUUUAAUGACACCCAAUACCAGUGUUGGAGGACAGAGAGAAGCAUUGUAUCUGUUCAGCAUCGCCAUGCCAGAUGUGAUUUGAUGAGUCUUCAUCACCUUUCCUUGUUUAUCUGUUAUUUAGACUGAAGACUUCUACUGUCUACUUUCGUUCUUUAUAAGAAGUCAUUCCAUAAUUUGAAUCGUUCUUUCCACUUUUCCCACUGCCUUCAGUACUGCCACAUCAUUUUAAGGUGGGAAACAGGGAUAACAGCCAGUAUUCAAGUCUGAAUGGUGUCAGAUGCAGUAUGGAUUUAUAUGGCAGCACACUAAUGCUUUACUUUUUGUCCCAAUAAUGCCUAACAUUUAAUCUGGCUGUUACCAAGUAUUGAACAUGUUUUUGUAGAGCUAUCAAUUGUGUAUUCAUAUCUCUGAAGUGAUCCUGAUUAUCAGGUUGCCAACUGGGAAGCUAAAAGCCAGAAAAUGUUCUUUUCUCUGAACAUAGAUGGUUUAUAAGUAGAUUAUUGAAAUGUGAGGAUGGUUUUAGUUUUACUAUUCAGUCCUGUAGUCUUUUAUAUUGCCAUUUUUUGAUGUCAUAUGUUGAUUGCUGCUUGUCAUUCACUUUUUUCUCUACAAUUAAAUUUGUAUUUCUUUAAUCCUCUUUUUCUAUUAAUUCAAACCUGUUAUAGAACUAUGCAAGCAUAUCUUAAUACUGGUGUUAGGACUGUUACCAAAGAAAAUGUUUGAUGCACUUUCCUAUAGCUUUUAGGAUUAUAAAAUUAAUACCUGUGAUAUGGACAAUUGGGAUAGUUUUGUAGAUAGUAAUGGAUCAAAUAUAGCAGUGGCAAAAUCAGUGAAAAGUUGUGUCCCAUGUUGCCUCAUCGAUGUGUCUCAUGACACGGCCUGGAGAAAACAGCAGUUUGACCAUCUUGGUCACUCAGCACUGUUUUUUUAGCUGUGUCGAUCAACUGCGUCUCUGCUACCAUAGUCUUUUGUCACGUGGAUUUUUAUCUUCUAUGAAGCUGUCUAAAACUGUCAGAUCAUUUCGUGCAGGCCACUGUACCACCAUUAAAGGUAGCAAGGGCAACAUUUUCUCAGGUGCAGAGGUCAACAUAAUCCUUAUGCAUCACUUAAAUUUUACUGAAACUCUCAUUUAAGACCUUUAUUCAAAUUUUCUAACAGCUUUGGAUGACUGACAAACCACUAACUUCGCUAAUUUCAGUAACUGUUUGCCAUACUUGGGCAAAAUAUAUGUAAAAUGCUUCCUUUCUGAUUUGAUGCCUUUGUUAUCUGAAAAAGAGCUAUUUGAUUUUACCUUGUUCAUUCCUUUCUCUCAUUUUGUAUUUAAAUAUUGUACUCUGGGUUCAAAUAGAUCAGUGGGGAAUAGGUUGGGUGCUUUUUAACACCAAAGCACUGCGAUGUAAUCAGAAGUACAUGACAAACCCACUGCCAUUAGCCCUGCCUAUAGAGGGCUGGUGCUGAGCCCGAAGGGAAGCAGGAGCAGUCAGGAGGAAGUGAAUGACUUCCUUCCACUGUGAGCAUUUCCCCUUUCUGGAGAUUAUUCCUGCCUCUGACAUCCUCUUGUGCCGCUGCCUUGGGAAUAGGCUAAGAGUUGCGCUGCCAAGAGCGGUGGAGAGCAGCUGGAACUCUGUUCCAGGCCACCCUUCCUGCUCCCACGUGACCCGAGUCUGUUUGCUUUAGAAUAAAUUUUUAAUAGCUGGACAUCUGGUUAGUUUGGGUUUGAAUAUAUUUUUCUGUCUGUGUAAUAAAGGAAAAAAGAUUACUCAGGAAAAUACUUAAGUUGUUAUUUUACAAACCUAUGCAAUAGUUCAUAUAGCUUCCAAAAGUUCUUAAUCUAUAUGGCUUUUACUGAUUUUCUAUGUGAAGUUUUAGAAAUCCUGCCUUUUUGUCAUGAAAAUUGUGGCUCCUAACAUUACUUGCUGUAUGUAUACAGAACAAUAGAGAGUCUUGGCAUAGUUUCGCAUUCUAUCAAAACUAACAUGCUUUUGCCAAAA